GUCCAGACUCCUACGGGAGGCAACAGUCGGGAAUAUUGCGCAAUGGAGGAAACUCUGACGCAGUGACGCCGCGUAUAGGAAGAAGGUUUUCGGAUUGUAAACUAUUGUCGUGAGGGAAGAAAUUGACAGUACCUCAGGAGGAAGCUCCGGCUAACUAUGUGCCAGCAGCCGCGGUAAUACAUAGGGAGCAAGCGUUAUCCGGAUUUAUUGGGUGUAAAGGGUGCGUAGACGGGAAAUUAAGUUAGUUGUGAAAUCCCGCGGCUUAACUGAGGAACUGCAACUAAAACUGAUUUUCUUGAGUACUGGAGAGGAAAGUGGAAUUCCUAGUGUAGCGGUGAAAUGCGUAGAUAUUAGGAGGAACACCAGUGGCGAAGGCGGCCUGCUGGACUGUGACUGACGUUGAGGCCCGAAGGCGUGGGGAGCAAACAGGAUUAGAUACCCCUGUAA
RNAcentral lists this ribosomal RNA (447 nucleotides) under uncultured bacterium. Its description in RNAcentral is "bacterial SSU rRNA". It matches the Rfam family "Bacterial small subunit ribosomal RNA", at positions 329 to 793 of the family's 1533-position model. The record is from RNAcentral.